GGCAUUAUAUGCCUCAGGGCCAACUCUUCCUAGAAAACCUUGUUCCUUCUUUAGGCCAUCAGUAUUUGUUUUACACAGCUUUGGGUUUUAUGAAUAGUGCUUUUUUUAAACAUUAUUUGGGUACUCUCUAGAAGUUGCCAACUUUUAUUUUGCCAAAUAAGGAUGUUAAAAGCACCACCUGCUAUCCCCAUCAUUUCAUAAAAGACAUUUUAAAACACACAAAGGACAGAACUUCAUAAUAAAGGACAGGCACUUUAAAUUGAAUACAUUUAGUGUGAAAUAUUCAGCUAUGUCUGUAUUUUCUACAUAAAAAUCCAAUAAUGUUCUUUAAAUUGAUUUAAAAACACUCAGAUUUCAUCUGGGGCAUAUAUCAGUCCCUCUGUUGGAGUUUGGGACUCAGUGGUGUAUUUAUGCCUGGGACUUUUGUCUGAAACCCUCUCUUAACGGCAGCAGAAGAGAGAGAGAAAUGACAUGCUAUACUACUAAAAUUAUUCUUGUUUUGCAAGUUGUUAAAUGAAAGCACUUCAGAAAUAUUGAAAAAAGCCUUGUAGAAUCUAGUUUAAUAAGAUGAUACAGUCUGUUAAUGAUCAGAGCAUAAAUGAAGAUGUCUUGUUCACGUGUUUCACACUACUGCUGACUUUAUACAGUCUUUAUAGGAAUGCUGCAGAUUCUUUGGUUAUUUGACCUUUGGUUUUCCACUUUUGAUGUUCUGAAGUGGUUAAUUGUGACCUUUAGCCAUGAAGCCUGAUGUUCAAACAUUGCUUUUCUGAGGAUGGAUGGGGAGAAGGGACAGGUAUGAGUUUUAAAAUUAUUUUAGAGUUUCAGAUAUUAUCUGAAAAUUUUAUAAAUAAUUUUAUUUGAAUUAAAUCCUAAAUCUAGUUUAGGUUUGAAUAAUAUAGGUAUGUGUUUCCUGUGGUUAAUACCAGUUUUUGAGAAAAGCAUGACAUAUGCUUUUAUACACUGAGUUACUGAAAGACCCUUGGAAAUGGGAUGUUAUAGACAAUUGAUUUUUAAAAAGUUCUAAAGUUAUAUGGGAGAAUGGUCCAUGCUUUGGAAAUUUCUUCUUUGAAAAUAUAUAGCUUAAACUACUUAAAUAGGAUAGCACACACCCAAAUUUCUGCAG
RNAcentral lists this long non-coding RNA (1123 nucleotides) under Homo sapiens (human). RNAcentral's name for it is "HSALNT0181412". Lineage: Eukaryota; Metazoa; Chordata; Mammalia; Primates; Hominidae. The record is from RNAcentral.